GAUGAAGAACGUAGCGAAAUGCGAUAAGUAAUGUGAAUUGCAGAAUUCAGUGAAUCAUCGAAUCUUUGAACGCACAUUGCGCCCGCCAGUAUUCUGGCGGGCAUGCCUGUUCGAGCGUCAUUUCAACCCUCAAGCCCAGCUUGGUGUUGGGGAUCGGCACAGGCGCCCUCGGGCGCCCGCCGUCCCCUAAAUCUAUUGGCGGUCCCGCUGCAGCCUCCUCUGCGUAGUAGUUUUCUCCUCGCAAGGGCAGCUCGGUGGCGACCUCGCCGUAAAACCCCCAACUUCUGAAAGGUUGACCUCGAAUCAGGUAGGAAUACCCGCUGAACUUAAGCAUAUCAAUAAGCGGAGA
This 349-nucleotide unclassified non-coding RNA is filed under the name soil metagenome. RNAcentral's name for it is "partial contains 5.8S ribosomal RNA, internal transcribed spacer 2, and large subunit ribosomal RNA". The stretch from base 1 to 120 matches the Rfam family "5.8S ribosomal RNA", at positions 35 to 154 of the family's 154-position model. The record is from RNAcentral.